GACGAACGCUGGCGGCGUGCUUAACACAUGCAAGUCGAACGGUGAAGCUCCAGCUUGCUGGAGUGGAUCAGUGGCGAACGGGUGAGUAACACGUGAGCAACCUGCCCCUGACUCUGGAAUAAGCGCUGGAAACGGCGUCUAAUACUGGAUACGAGAAGGGUCCGCAUGGGCACUUUCUGGAAAGUUUUUCGGUUGGGGAUGGGCUCGCGGCCUAUCAGCUUGUUGGUGGGGUAAUGGCUCACCAAGGCGACGACGGGUAGCCGGCCUGAGAGGGCGACCGGCCAACCUGGGUGGGAGAGACGGCCCAACCACAUACGGGAGGGAGGAGGGGGGAAUAUUUAACAGGGGGCGAAAGCCUGAUGGAGCAAGCCCGGGUGAGGGAGGGCGGCCUGCGGGUUGGAAACCUUUUUCAGCAGGGAGGAAGGAAAAUGAGAGGUACGUGCGAAAAAACCCCGGCUAAAUUCGGG
This 467-nucleotide ribosomal RNA is filed under the name uncultured bacterium. RNAcentral's name for it is "partial 16S ribosomal RNA". It matches the Rfam family "Bacterial small subunit ribosomal RNA", at positions 28 to 507 of the family's 1533-position model. The record is from RNAcentral.